GAUGAACGCUGGCGGCGUGCCUAAUACAUGCAAGUCGAGCGAACGGACGAGAAGCUUGCUUCUCUGAUGUUAGCGGCGGACGGGUGAGUAACACGUGGAUAACCUACCUAUAAGACUGGGAUAACUUCGGGAAACCGGAGCUAAUACCGGAUAAUAUUUUGAACCGCAUGGUUCAAAAGUGAAAGACGGUCUUGCUGUCACUUAUAGAUGGAUCCGCGCUGCAUUAGCUAGUUGGUAAGGUAACGGCUUACCAAGGCAACGAUGCAUAGCCGACCUGAGAGGGUGAUCGGCCCCACUGGAACUGAGACACGGUCCAGGCUCCUACGGGAGGCAGCAGUCGGGAAUCUUCCGCAAUGGGCGAAAGCCUGACGGAGCAACGCCGCGUGAGUGAUGAAGGUCUUCGGAUCGUAAAACUCUGUUAUUAGGGAAGAACAUAUGUGUAAGUAACUGUGCACAGCUUGACGGCACCUAAUCAGAAAGCCACGGCUAACUACGUG
RNAcentral lists this ribosomal RNA (497 nucleotides) under uncultured bacterium. RNAcentral describes it as "partial 16S ribosomal RNA". It matches the Rfam family "Bacterial small subunit ribosomal RNA", at positions 28 to 507 of the family's 1533-position model. The record is from RNAcentral.